This 888-nucleotide ribosomal RNA is filed under the name uncultured Chloroflexota bacterium. Its description in RNAcentral is "bacterial SSU rRNA". It matches the Rfam family "Bacterial small subunit ribosomal RNA", at positions 8 to 916 of the family's 1533-position model. The record is from RNAcentral. Lineage: Bacteria; Bacillati; Chloroflexota.
AGAGUUUGAUCCUGGCUCAGGAUGAACGCUGGCGGCGUGCUUAAUACAUGUAAGUCGGACGGAGCGUUAGCAAUAGCGCUUAGUGGCGAACGGGUGAGUAACACGUUGGUGACCUGCCCCGAAGCGGGGGAUAACAGUUCGAAAGGACUGCUAAUACCGCAUGAGGUCAUGAGGAUUAGAAGGUCAUGACGAAAGCAGCGAUGCGCUUUGGGAGGGACCUGCGGCCCAUCAGCUAGUUGGUAAGGUAGUGGCUUACCAAGGCGACGACGGGUAGGGGGCCUGAGAGGGUGAUCCCCCACACUGGCACUGAAACACGGGCCAGACACCUACGGGUGGCAGCAGUAGGGAAUAUUGCACAAUGGGCGAAAGCCUGAUGCAGCAACGCCGCGUGCACGAUGAAGGCCUUCGGGUCGUAAAGUGCUUUUCUGCAGGACGAGGAAGGACGGUACUGUAGGAAUAAGGAUCGGCUAACUACGUGCCAGCAGCCGUGGUAACACGUAGGAUCCGAGCGUUAUCCGAAUUCACUGGGCGUAAAGGGCUAGCAGGCGGCCGGAAAAGUUGGAUGUGAAAUCUCCUGGCUCAACUGGGAGAGGCCGUUCAAGACUAUCUGGCUCGAGGGCGAUAGAGGGAGGUGGAAUUCCAGGUGUAGUGGUGAAAUGCGUAGAUAUCUGGAGGAACACCAGUGGCGAAAGCGGCCUUCUGGAUCGCACCUGACGCUGAGAAGCGAAAGCUAGGGGAGCAAACGGGAUUAGAAACCCCGGUAGUCCUAGCCGUAAACGAUGUAGACUAGGUGUUGGUGGGGUAAAAGCCAUCAGUGCCGCAACGAACGCGAUAAGUCUACCGCCUGGGGACUACGGCCGCAAGGUUAAAACUCAAAGGAAUUGACGG